Long non-coding RNA from Galendromus occidentalis (western predatory mite), 508 nucleotides. RefSeq lists it as uncharacterized. The transcript has 2 exons. The record is from RefSeq and is a predicted model, not a curated record. NCBI's taxonomy places the organism in Eukaryota, Metazoa, Arthropoda, Arachnida, Mesostigmata, Phytoseiidae.
UCGCUCCGCGUACUCGACUCGUUCCAAGGAAUUCGGUAAUUCUCUCGAGAGUCUCUAUUGACCUCAAUCGACCGGUGUCCUCUCUCCGUUCGAUUGAGAAUCGCAGCAACUUCCCGCGAGAGUCGACGGAGAUGCUGACGGAGAUGCCGCGAAUGUCCACGAGAUACACCAGCAGCCAUGAAGUUCUUGAUUCUGUUUGUGAUUGUGACUCUGUGUUGCGUUCAAUUCAUUGAGUCGCGCGGUGGACGCGGAGGUCGCCGGGGCGGAAGAGGUGGUGCUUUCGGUCUCGGUGGUAACCGGCCCAGAGUCCGAAUCCCGAAGGAAAGCUAUAGACACGGAUUAACUGCUCUGUACCUCGUCCGGCGGAAAAUUAGGAACUCGAAGGGAGAGCUCACCAGCAAGGAAGAAGAGUUCAUCGUCGAGAAGCCGGUCAGAAAAAUAUUCUACACGAGAUGAUGAUGAUAAUAAACGUCAGCUCGACGAUCAGAUCUACCAGCUGAUCAUGAAA